UGCGACAGAGAAGCCCUUAACGAAGCACAGCUGGGGAAAUCGUUUGGAAAUACUCUUGAGAAUAAAGGGAAAAAAAUAAAAUUAAAGCCUUUCCUGCUGGAGGGAAGAGCCGGUCGCCGGGGAAUAGACCGAACGUCCACCCGGGAAAAAAAAAACACAAGGGCCACGCGACUAAAGGGCUGCGGUUGUGUAAUAAAAGCACGACGGCUCUUGCACAACAACGGCAAUUUCCACAGCUGAAACAGCUGCAUGGCCGAAGCCAUGCAUGAUUAAUAAUUUGGUCCCAGGGGGACAGCUGGAUGCCCCGUAAAUACAGCUGAGGAAAUACCGGGCAUAUCUGACACCGUAGUGUCUGUGUUCGGGGCGACGAUGUGUUUACAGUGCAAUUCAGUUGCCUUCUGAGAAAUUCGGAUUUUGCUUCUUUUGCCCCGAUAGCGCUGCCCUCGUCUCCAAAGCAUCGUGGAAGGCGAGGCGAGCAUGAGAAGGGAAGCCACGCAUUACUAUCGUGGCGCCGGCGCUGGCGGCCGCCGUCCCAUUGUCUGCUGGCUCACGCAUUUGCUAGCUUGCCAUCUGAAGUGAAGACCAUGUCACAGGUCUGGCUUGUGUAAAGAACCAAAAAUAUCCCACAGGAAAACGAAGGUGGUUCUUGGCUCCAGUCCUCCACGUUGUUCAUGACAAAUUUCCCUCAGAGGCUGUGUUGUUUCCUUGGGAUGCACCUGGUUUUGCUCUUGCUGACAGGAGACAACAUCUAUUUUAGAAACCUCAGGAAGUCAUGCCGGGAAGGAAGGAGAGGCUGACAGUUUCCUCCACCCCCACGAAGCAAGCAUUGAUGCUGGUUGUGGACACAGGGAGAAACUGCCCUGAAAGCUUUCUCGGUGGGCCCCUGAAAAACCAUCUCUUUUCAGAGACAGCAGCAGGAGCAGCUCAGUUUUGAAGAUGGUGUUAGAAACAAUAACUCUCCCCUCCCCCCCGCCACCCCACACUGCCUGGGUACAGCAAAAUGUGAAGAAGAAAAAAACACCACAUACUGAUGUUGUGAUCAUUCUCUGUAUGUAUUUAUGAUGUGGGAAGACUGUUUCACACAAAUGAGGGGAGUGAAACUAGGGCAGAUAGUCAUUAAAUAUGGAAACCAGA
Non-coding RNA from Pogona vitticeps (central bearded dragon), 1134 nucleotides. The record is from RefSeq and is a predicted model, not a curated record. NCBI's taxonomy places the organism in Eukaryota, Metazoa, Chordata, Lepidosauria, Squamata, Agamidae.